UACAGGGGGUGCAAACGUUGCUCGGAAUUAUUGGGCGUAAAGCGCGCGUAGGCGGCUACCUAAGUCGGAUGUGAAAGCCCCUGGCUUAACUGGGGAAGUGCACCCGAAACUGGGUAGCUAGAGUGCAAAAGAGGGUCGCGGAAUUCCUGGUGUAGCGGUGAAAUGCGCAGAUAUCAGGAGGAACACCUAUUGCGAAGGCAGCUCGCUGGGACGUUACUGACGCUGAGACGCGAAAGCGUGGGGAGCAAACAGG
Molecule: ribosomal RNA, 253 nt
Filed under: uncultured bacterium
Lineage: Bacteria
Description: partial 16S ribosomal RNA
Rfam family: Bacterial small subunit ribosomal RNA
Source: RNAcentral